RNAcentral lists this ribosomal RNA (279 nucleotides) under uncultured Arcanobacterium sp. RNAcentral's name for it is "partial 16S ribosomal RNA". It matches the Rfam family "Bacterial small subunit ribosomal RNA", at positions 76 to 355 of the family's 1533-position model. The record is from RNAcentral. Lineage: Bacteria; Bacillati; Actinomycetota; Actinomycetes; Actinomycetales; Actinomycetaceae.
CUUGCUUGGGGUACUCGAGUGGCGAACGGGUGAGUAAUACGUGGGUAACCUGCCCUCUUCUUUGGGAUAAUCCCCGGAAACGGGGUCUAAUACCGGAUAUUCUGCUUCUGCCGCAUGGUGGGGGUUGGAAAGGUUUUUCGGUGGGGGAUGGGCCCGCGGCCUAUCAGCUUGUUGGUGGGGUGAUGGCCUACCAAGGCUUCGACGGGUAGCCGGCCUGAGAGGGUGACCGGCCACAUUGGGACUGAGAUACGGCCCAGACUCCUACGGGAGGCAGCAGCA